UGGGAACUCCCAAUUCUUGAAUCUUAUUAACAUCCAUGACUGGUAAAAAAUCAUUUAGCUUUAAAAGUAAGUCACGGGUGUUCAAAUACCCUUUUAGUAAGAUACUUUCAUCAAUCAUAGUAAUACUUUCUACCUUCAUGCUUACACUUUAGGUCAUCCUGACACCUGUCUUGAAGUUUGACAGAAUGAAUAGUAGGGAAACAGAAACACCCCUAUUUUUAAUACUAGAUUGUAUUUAGCUGUAAUUUAAAACUGAAGCACAGUGACUUGCCUCUUGCAGCUUUCCACUGGACCCGUCAAUAGUCUUGUUAGGAAAGUUUGUCUUGUAUUAACUUUAAGCUAUGCAUUACUUGAGACUUUUGAGCAUAAAUUUGUUUCUUCACUGUUGAGCCAUGUUCUAUAAGGAAUCGGGAGGCUGCAUGAUACUGCAAGGUGCUUUAUUUUAGCUAAAAAAUUUUUUAAGUUCUGUAUCUAAGCUUUUUAAAGUAUCAUAAAGGACUAUUUAAAGUUCCUACAUUAAGCAUUUGCAGAAAACCAAACUUGAAUUUCCAUCUGAGAAUCAUCACAACCUUUUCCAGCGUGGGGGACAGAUUCACGCUGAUCUGCGGGUUCACUGGGGCUGAGCACAAGGCUUCAUGUUUAUGACGUUAAGACACAUCCUCAUGAGGCUGUAGGAAGCGGAACCUGAGCUGCAGCUUCCUACACUCCUGCUCUUCAUCCUGUCUUCCCUUCUUUGCAGCAUCGUCUCUAAGGCUAGAUAGGCCAGGUUUGGGUUUGUCAUGUAGUAGAGACUCAUCUAAUGUUUGGAAAGGCUUUCUAACCUGUAAAAUGUCUCUUAAAAAUAAUGUAUUGACACAUAGUUCAGUGCUGAAUCAAUGGCCUUGUUCAUUUCCUCAUCAUCUGUUUUGUAUAAGUUGCACAGGGCUACACUUGUGCCCCAUGUCAUCCUUCUUUGCGUUCCAGGUUCCACCUGUGCCCCACUCUCAAGGUUUCCUGUUGGAAUUCCUGUGGGAAGAUCUGGACCAGCUUAUCCAGGCUGUAUCCUGGGUCACGGACCAGGCUCUGCAUCACCAGGUGUCCCCUUGCAGAGGGAAGGCAGAGGCCCAGCCCUGGGCAGUCUGCUGUAGAGCUGGGUUAGAGAGAUCAGGUGUGCUCGCCACCCUCCCUGCCAACAGUGGUGGGACAGAGUAAUGGCCCCAGCACUCGAAUGCUCCUCCUUUGUCAUCCUUCGAUGAAGAGGAAAGAAGGCUGAGCAGAAGGCUGUUCGUACCUCUGGUAAGAGUCCUAUUGGGAAGGGUUUUUCUCUCCCCGAGUUAUGGCUAUUCUAGCCGGGGAGAGAGCAGUUAGGAGGAACUGGCCUGCCCUCAAACAGCCACAGGGGUUUGCGAUGGAAUGGGAGGCACCCUUUGGCUCAUCAUUUACCUUCCUGAGAAGAUCUGAGUUACACUUGUGUUAUACUUUAAGCUUACGGAAGGACCUCUCUGUGACCUUUAGAAGAGGCUGUAGAAUCUACCAGAGGAGAUAAGUUUUGAGAAGCUCCUGCUAGAGGAACAUUAAGGUUUCCAGGUCAUACUGCCUUAAAGUUUAAACUUUUAUCUGCUAGUUCUAACCCAGAGAGCACUUCUAUUUCUGGAGAAGUUAUCAGAGGAUGGUUUUUCCAAGCCCUUUCCAGCAGUUGUCACCUGUGUUUUCUUCUUCCACCACUGAGAGGAAGACUCCUGGGAAUUCUCAGCACAGCGAGAGGACAGGAUUCCCUUUGUUGCACCUUAAUCCCUCUAAUGAGACUUAAAAGGAGACUGCUGGAUACUAAAUUCAGGCAUUUACCAAAUAGUGUUGCUUUCUACUAGCCAGAGAGCCCUAACAAACCAACAGCUGAACUAGGAUUCUUCUGCAGAAGGGCCUGUGACUGGAAAGACAAGCCGAGCUGAAGACGAAGACCUACCGCCCUCCCCGGGUCCAUGCACCUUUUCCAGGUGCCAGGGACCCGUUGUCCUAGGAGAACCAGUGACCUCGUGUAAAAUGAUAUCUUUAAAAGAUGUCAAUCACACUGUGGAAUCAAAGAAACUAAAGGGUGAGUCCUGAUUCGAGCCUCACUGAGCGUCCUGCCCGCCCUUGGGAGGAAGAUGAAGGAGAGGAGGUGACUUUAAGGAAUAUAUUUCCACUUGAAAAAUGCAGAAAGCAAAUUAUUCUAAAGAAUCUGCAUGUAUAAUAUAAAAAAAGAAUUCCGCCUAUUGUAAAGAAGAAGAAAGCACUUAUGGCCCAAGGAAAGUAAGUUUGCUUUAUU
Molecule: long non-coding RNA, 2284 nt
Organism: Phacochoerus africanus (Common warthog)
Lineage: Eukaryota; Metazoa; Chordata; Mammalia; Artiodactyla; Suidae
Exons: 3
Source: RefSeq, a predicted model, not a curated record